GUUUGUGCUUCUCUCUCUCUCUUUCUUUCUCUCUCCUUGUUCUUAUUUUUACAGGUAUCCCUGAUUCCAGAGCUCCAGAACACGACAGGUCAAGGUCACAUGAGGAGCUGCAACCAAUCCCAGAUGGCGACACUGAUGAUAAUAAUUGUGUGUGAUUUGUGAAAUGCUCCUGGUCUCUAUCUUCUUCUCUUUCCACUCUUUGUAAAUAUGAUGUCUUUUGUGUUAUCUGCUAAACCUCGGUGUGGCUCUUCCUGAGGUUUCUCUCAUUUUUAUUUCCCCGUAAAAAGGUUUUUUUUGUGGAGUUUUCCCCUCACUCGAUGUGUGGGUCUGAGGACAGAGGGUGUCACUUGCUGUACAGACUGCAAAGCCCUUGUGUUUGUGAUGUUGGGCUAUAUAAAUAAAAGUGAAUUGAACUGUGCUUAAGAUGACACUUUCCUAAGACGGUGUGUCACCCUGAGCUUCACCUUG
Solea senegalensis (Senegalese sole) is the source of this 468-nucleotide long non-coding RNA. RefSeq lists it as uncharacterized. The record is from RefSeq and is a predicted model, not a curated record. Lineage: Eukaryota; Metazoa; Chordata; Actinopteri; Pleuronectiformes; Soleidae. The transcript has 2 exons.